Molecule: ribosomal RNA, 305 nt
Filed under: uncultured bacterium
Lineage: Bacteria
Description: bacterial SSU rRNA
Rfam family: Bacterial small subunit ribosomal RNA
Source: RNAcentral
GCCCUACGGGGGGCAGCAGUGAGGAAUAUUGGUCAAUGGUCGGGAGACUGAACCAGCCAAGCCGCGUGAGGGAGGAAGGUACAGAGUAUCGUAAACCUCUUUUGUCAGGGAACAAAGGCGGGGACGUGUCCCCGGAUGAGUGUACCUGAAGAAAAAGCAUCGGCUAACUCCGUGCCAGCAGCCGCGGUAAUACGGAGGAUGCGAGCGUUAUCCGGAUUUAUUGGGUUUAAAGGGUGCGCAGGCGGAAUGUCAAGUCAGCGGUAAAAUUUCGGGGCUCAACCCCGUCGUGCCGUUGAAACUUGCGU